GAUGAAGAACGCAGCGAAAUGCGAUAAGUAAUGUGAAUUGCAGAAUUCAGUGAAUCAUCGAAUCUUUGAACGCACAUUGCGCCCGUCAGUAUUCUGGCGGGCAUGCCUGUUCGAGCGUCAUUACAACCCUCAGGCCCCCGGGCCUGGCGUUGGGGAUCGGCGGAGCCCCCCGUGGGCACACGCCGUCCCCCAAAUGCAGUGGCGGUCCCGCCGCAGCUUCCAUCGCGUAGUAGCUAACACCUCGCGACUGGAGAGCGGCGCGGCCACGCCGUAAAACACCCAACUCUUCUGAAGUUGACCUCGAAUCAGGUAGGAAUACCCGCUGAACUUAAGCAUAUCAAUAAGCGGAGGA
RNAcentral lists this unclassified non-coding RNA (352 nucleotides) under soil metagenome. RNAcentral's name for it is "partial contains 5.8S ribosomal RNA, internal transcribed spacer 2, and large subunit ribosomal RNA". The stretch from base 1 to 120 matches the Rfam family "5.8S ribosomal RNA", at positions 35 to 154 of the family's 154-position model. The record is from RNAcentral.